AUGGGGGAGGAGGCCGGCGACGGCUACGGCCACGGCACGCCACCGGAUGCGCUCACGGCCAUCGUCGUCAAGGGCAAGCGCAGCAAGCGGCGCCGCGUGCACGCCGCCGCGGUGAUCGCGGCCGCGGAGGCCGAGGUGACCGCGGUCACCACGGCCAGCGCCGCGGGAGAGGUGGCGUCGUCGUCGUCCUCGGUGGCGGAUGGCGGCGGGUGGCGGUCUGGCGCGGAUGAGGCGGCCUCCGGGUGCGUCACCGAGGAGGAGGAGGACAUGGCGCUCUGCCUCAUGCUGCUCGCGCGCGGCGGCGGCGGGCAAGGAAGCAGGGCCGGGGCGUCGUCCGCGUCGUCGUCGGUGGUGGUGAGGGAUGACGUCGCGGAGUCCACGGCGGGGGUGAUGGCGGUGGCCACGGCGCGGGAGGGCAAGUUCCGGAGCCGGCGCCCGGCGGACGGCGGCGAGGGGGAGUUCGUGUACGAGUGCCGGACGUGUGGCAAGUGCUUCCCGUCCUUCCAGGCGCUCGGCGGCCACCGCACCAGCCACAAGAAGCCGCGUCUCCCGCUCCCGCCCACCACCGCGGCGACGGCGUCGUCGUCCGAGGAGAAGAAGCUGCCCGCCGACGAGAAGACGCCACCACCGCCUUCGUCGCCGUCGCCGGCCGCUGCCGUGGAUCGGACGGUGCUGGCGAUCCCGGUCCCGGCGACGCCGCCGAAGCAAGAAGGGGCGGCCACGGCGACCGUCGUGUCGUCGUCGAAGCAGCAGCAACAGCAGCAGGGGCAGGGGAGGGUGCACGAGUGCUCCAUCUGCGGCGCGGAGUUCGGGUCCGGGCAGGCGCUGGGCGGGCACAUGCGGCGCCACCGCCCGCUCCUGCCGGCGUCGGCGUCCGUCUCUUCCACGGACGGCGUGGCGGCGGUGCUGGUGAUCAGGAAGGAGAAGAGCCCGCUGGAGCUGGAUCUCAACAUGCCGGCGCCCUGCGACGACGCGGCCGCCACCGAGGCUACCUCGCCAUCGCCCUUCUCCUUCUCCGUGAAGGAGCGGCCGUCUGCCCCGGCGGCGCUGCUGCCGUUCCCGGCGCCGGCGUCGGCCCUGGUGGACUGCCAUUACUAG
RNAcentral lists this ribosomal RNA (1098 nucleotides) under Triticum aestivum (bread wheat). RNAcentral describes it as "partial small subunit ribosomal RNA". The record is from RNAcentral. Lineage: Eukaryota; Viridiplantae; Streptophyta; Magnoliopsida; Poales; Poaceae.